RNAcentral lists this long non-coding RNA (236 nucleotides) under Setaria viridis. Its description in RNAcentral is "long non-coding RNA (SVIR_LNC006620)". Lineage: Eukaryota; Viridiplantae; Streptophyta; Magnoliopsida; Poales; Poaceae. The record is from RNAcentral.
UAAAUGGGGGCCUUCUCCUAUUUUUCAUCUCCCGACUGGUUUUUGGAAAUUUAUUCGAUUUAUAUUUUCAACGGAUUCAGGAAGCAAAAAAUAAAAUAUUUACAUAUUUCAAACAUGCAAAAAUAUAUUAAAUUAACACGUUUGUUUUAACUAGUCAUAAAUUCUAUACUAUUUCUUUUUGCUUCUAUUUGAAAAUUUAUUCUCGCCGGUUGGAACUUGUAGGCAUCGGAUCUCAC